GUGUCAGCCGCCGCGGUAAUACGGAGGGUCCGAGCGUUAUCCGGAUUUAUUGGGUUUAAAGGGUGCGUAGGCGGUUUUAUAAGUCAGCGGUGAAAUUUUUCGGCUCAACCGGGAUACUGCCGUUGAUACUGUAAGGCUAGGAUAUGGUUGCUGUGGGUGGAAUGUGUGAUUUAGCGGGUAAAUUCUUAGAGAUCACACAGAAUAUUGAUUGAGAAGGCAGCUCACAAAGCCAUUAUUGAC
This 240-nucleotide ribosomal RNA is filed under the name uncultured bacterium. Its description in RNAcentral is "partial 16S rRNA". It matches the Rfam family "Bacterial small subunit ribosomal RNA", at positions 505 to 744 of the family's 1533-position model. The record is from RNAcentral.